CUGUUAGUAUAUUCUGUCCAUAUAUUAAUAUCAGCAGAACUUCUGUAGUUUUAAAUAAAUGAAAAAAUUCAUUUCUCUUGUCAAUGGUUUGAUGGUUAACUAUUUGGAUUCAUUCAACAGAUAGUAUAACAGAGCCAAAAUUGCAAGUCUUGUGGCCUGGGCAUGUACAAUAGAAAAAGCUUUGACAUCUAACGACAUCCAGAAACAAGAAAUUCAGCUUCUUGUGCCCAUGAGAUAUAGUCGGGAGUGGCAAUGGGCGCCUUGCUGGAUUAGAAGAACAGGAGCUGUGAGAAAGCUGCACUAAUAGAGUCUUAUAAAUUUCCAGGAUAGUAGACAGCCUGGAAAAAAGCAACGAAACAAAACAAACAAAACCCCACAUACUACAGAUUAGGAAAAGCAGAGGGAAGUGACCUGAUAGGAGAUUUUGAUUGUUACAGAUUAAUUAUGUAAGCAAAAUUUAAAAUAUGGAACAACUUUAUAUUUUAAACUUUGUCCAGUGUGUAAGGGCAAAGGAGACUAAAACCAUUGAUUUAGGUGAAAUUAAACACAAAACCAAAGGAUAAAAUCGGUUCUGAUUUUAUUUGUCCUCUGGCAGCAACAUCUAACUCCUUGCUUUACAGUGGGUGCCAUAGGAGUUAUAGGAGCCUAGCACAGGAGCAGGAUGGAGGAGAGUUAGUUACUUAAGGAAGGUAUUAAAGGAAUCACUACGUGAAUGGAAGGUUGAUGUCGCAUACAUUGCAUACCAACAUGAAAACACUACAAAUCAUGGAGAUGUCUAUCUGCAAACAUCAAGAAGAUGCCCCAGAACUUUGCGAGGGCCUUAUAGACAGUAUUACUAUUCUACAGUUUAUAGUUUGGAAAAAUUAUUCAGUUUUGUCUUCCCUGCUACUUUCUCACCUUCUGCAAACAUAUAGUCAUUAAAAAACAGUCUUAUUGCUAUCAUUUAUUUUUCCUAAGGGAUUAAAUGGGCCAAGUGAAUUAGAACAGGCCAUUCAGAGUUGUUGAAAUGUGAGAUUAUUUCACUUUCUUUCUGACAUUGUAGAUCCCUUACCUCUGUAUGAACUGACCUGUGACCCUGAAUGAAAAAGACAUCACUCAAAAUAGGCACAGAGUAAUUCUAAGUGUAAUGUAGUUAUAAAAAAUAUCUUCAAAAACAUGUUAAGUUAAAAAAAUAGAUUGGACUCUUGAUAUAGUAGAUUUACUUGCUUUUGUGUUUUAUUCAAUUACAUUCUGUUAAUUUAAGGCCAUGACUCAUAUGACAAAUCUGUAAACUUUGCCAUAGUCUGAAUGUGUGUGCUAUCCACAAUUUAUAUGUUAAAAUUGUAGUCCCCAAGAUGACGAUAUCAGGAGAGGGGGCGUUUGGGAGAUGAUUAGGUCAUGAGGGCAGACCUUUGGUAAUGGGAUUAGUGUCCUUAUAAACGAAGCUCAAGAGAGACCCAUCUUUCCUUCUUCCAUAUGAAGACAAAGUCAAGAAGGUGCUGUCAACUAACCAGGAAGUUGACUCUCACCAGACACAGAAUCUGCCAACAACUUGAUCUUGGACUUCCUAGCCUCUAGACUGUCAGAGAUAAAUUUCUGUUGUUUAUAAGCCACCCACUUUAUGGUAUUUUGUUAUAGUAGUCCAAACUUACUUACUAAAACAAAGACUUGUUAAAGAGGAAAAUAUUUUGAGGAAAAUCUCAAAUAAACAUAUUUUCAAAGAAAAUGUAAUAUAAGCAACUUCAGCAAAGUCUCAGGAUACAAAAUCAAUAUGCAAAAAUCACAGGCAUUCCUAUACACCCAAUAACAGACAAACAGGAAGCCUAAUCAUGAGUGAACUCCCAUUCACAAUUGCUACAAAGAGAAUAAAAUACCUAGGGAUACAACUUACAAGGGAUGUGAAGGACCUCCUUAAGGAGAACUACAAACCACUACUAAAGGAAAUAAGAGAGGACACAAAUAAAUUGAAAAACAUUUCAUGUUCAUGGAUAGGAAGAAUCAAUAUUGUGAAAAUGGCCAUACUGCCCAAAGUAAUUUGUAGAUUCAAUGCUAUCCCCAUCAAGCUACCAUUGACUUUCUUCACAAAAUUAGAAAAAACAACUUUAAAUUUCAUAUGGAACCAAAAAGGAGCAUGCAUAGCCAACACAAUCCUAAGGAAAAAGAACAAAGCUGGAGGCAUCAUGCUACCUGACUUUAAUACUACAAGGCUACAAUAACGAAAAGAGCAUGGUACUGGUACCAAAACAGAUACAUAGACUAAUGGAACAGAACAGAGGCCUCAGAAAUAACACCACACAUCUACAACCGUCUGAUUUUUGACAAACCUGACAAAAACAAGCAAUGGGAAAGGAUUCCCUAUUUAAUAAAUGGUGUUGGGAAAAUUGGCUAGCCAUAUGCAGAAAACUGAAACUGGACCCCUUACAUACACCUUACAAAAAAUUAACUCAUGAUGGAUUAAAGACUUAAAUGUUAGACCUAAAACCAUAAAAACCCUAGAAGAAAACCUAAGCAAUACCAUUCUGUCAAUAGGUAUGGGCAAAUACCUCAUGACUAAAACACCAAAAGCAAUGGCAACAAAAGCCAGAAUUGACAAAUGGAAUCUAAUUAAACUAAAGAGCUUCAGCACAACAACAACAACAAACUAUCAUCAGAGUGAACAGAAUUGGAGAAAAAUUGUGCAAUCUAUCCACCUGACAAAGAGCCAAUAUCCAGAAUCUACAAAGAACUUAAACAAAUUUACAAGAAAAAACAAACAACCCCAUCAAAAUGUGGGCAAAGGAUAUGAACAACUUCUCAAAAGAAGACAUUUAUGCAGCCAACAAACAUAUGAAAAAAUGCUCAUCAUCACUGGUCAUUAGAGAAACACAAAUCAAAACCACAAUGAGAUACCAUCUCAUGCCAGUUAGAAUGGCGAUCAUUAAACAUUCAGGAAACAACAGAUGCUGGAGAGGAUGUGGAGAAAUAGGAACGCUUUUACACGGUUGGUGGGAGUGUAAAUUAGUUCAAUCAUUGUGGA
This is a long non-coding RNA of Symphalangus syndactylus (siamang), 2995 nucleotides long. RefSeq lists it as uncharacterized. NCBI's taxonomy places the organism in Eukaryota, Metazoa, Chordata, Mammalia, Primates, Hylobatidae. The record is from RefSeq and is a predicted model, not a curated record.